UAGAGGAAGUAAAAGUCGUAACAAGGUUUCCGUAGGUGAACCUGCGGAAGGAUCAUUAAUGUUAUAGCAACCCUCUGGCUGAAAAUGCCAGGGGGCACAUCUAUACCACCCUUUGUUUAUCACACCUUUGUUGCUUUGGCAGGCCAGUCUUCGGACUGCCGGCUCCGGCCGGACAGCGCCUGCCAGAGGACCUAAACUCUGUUUGUCUAUAAUGUCUGAGUACUAUAUAAUAGUUAAAACUUUCAACAACGGAUCUCUUGGUUCUGGCAUCGAUGAAGAACGCAGCGAAAUGCGAUAAGUAAUGUGAAUUGCAGAAUUCAGUGAAUCAUCGAAUCUUUGAACGCACAUUGCGCCCCCUGGUAUUCCGGGGGGCAUGCCUGUUCGAGCGUCAUUACAACCCUCAAGCUCUGCUUGGUAUUGGGCCCCGCCGACCCGGCGAGCCCUAAAAUCAGUGGCGGUGCCGUCUGGUUCCGAGCGUAGUAAUUCUUCUCGCUUUGGAGGCCGGGCGUGUGCUUGCCAGCAACCCCCAAUUUUUUUCAGGUUGACCUCGGAUCAGGUAGGGAUACCCGCUGAACUUAAGCAUAU
This 585-nucleotide ribosomal RNA is filed under the name Geomyces sp. 15PA05. RNAcentral describes it as "eukaryotic LSU rRNA". The stretch from base 238 to 391 matches the Rfam family "5.8S ribosomal RNA". The record is from RNAcentral. Lineage: Eukaryota; Fungi; Ascomycota; Leotiomycetes; Thelebolales; Pseudeurotiaceae.